Molecule: ribosomal RNA, 253 nt
Filed under: uncultured bacterium
Lineage: Bacteria
Description: partial 16S ribosomal RNA
Rfam family: Bacterial small subunit ribosomal RNA
Source: RNAcentral
UACGUAGGGUGCGAGCGUUAAUCGGAAUUACUGGGCGUAAAGCGUGCGUAGACGGUUGCGUAAGUCAGAUGUGAAAUCCCCGGGCUCAACCUGGGAACUGCAUUUGUGACUGUAGAGCUGGAGUGCGGCAGAGGGGGAUGGAAUUCCGCGUGUAGCAGUGAAAUGCGUAGAUAUGCGGAGGAACACCGAUGGCGAAGGCAAUCCCCUGGGCCUGCACUGACGCUCAUGCACGAAAGCGUGGGGAGCAAACAGG